AUGAAAACGAGGCUCCUCUGCUUGCUCGCUCUGCUGUUGCUAUGGACGGCAAUGGUGCGAGCAUCCGCUGGCGUGCAAGGAAGCCAGGCCGGGAACAGGAGUGCUCUUCCCUCCCUGGCCGGCUGCCAGAAGAACUGUGGCAACCUGAGUUUCGACUACCCGUUCGGCAUAGGGGCAGGCUGCUUCCGGCUGCCGCAGCGAGACUUUGAGCUCAUCUGCAACAACACCCACGGUGCCUCACAGCAGCCCAGACUCUUCCUGCACGACGGCAUCACCGAGGUUGUCAAUGACAUCAGACCCGGCGACACAUCAGGUAUUGAUGUAUCGUUUUCCCAAUCCGUCUCCGUGAGACCUGAGGUGGAUGCAUACAACAUCUCCUGGAACCCUGGGAGAUCUCUCAGUAUCGAUGGCGUAUUACUAAACUUCACUGGUUGCGACUUCAACAUGUAUGUGCUCCAGCACGACAUAAACAAGAUGGUGGGUCAGUGCAGUUCUACAUGCCCUGACGAAGAUAUCACAGAUACAAUGGCCAGGCAGGACUGCAACGGUACAGGAUGUUGCACUGCCGUAGGUUACUCUGAGUUUGGUGUCGGCUUGGACAUCAAGUUUGUCCGCCACAAGAUUGGAAAGCGGAAGUUCCAAGCGCAGAGUAACCGAAGCUCCAUAUGGGAUACAAUUAAUGUAGUAACCUCUCAUCAAGCGUAUAUUAGCUGGGCGAUCGCCGUUGAUGAACCUGGCACAGAUUAUGCAUGUCUCAGCAACCAUAGCAGUGGGCGAUUCGAUUCAUCUAACGUCACUUAUGUUUGUUACUGUGACCGUGGUUACCGAGGCAAUCCAUACAUAACCAAUGGCUGCUCCCGUGACAAAGGGUACCAUCCGAUACAACGGAAGACCAACUGCUCUAGAUGGUGUGGAGAAAUCAGUGUCCCUUUCCCAUUUGGCCUAGAGGAUGGUUGUUCUGCAAGGAUGUCAUUUCAGCUCAAUUGUACAAAUUCUUCUUUGUCUACCCUCCAGUUUCUUGACGGGUUCGAUGAUACAGAAUACUCCAGCAAUUAUGUACAGUAUAUAAAUAUCUCAGGGGGGCUAGUGAAUGUUAAAUACAACAUAUAUGAAGCAGAGAGCCUUUCGGUGCAUGUAUUUCAAGAUCCAGGCCUCUAUGUUGCCUCCGGGGGUGUGGUACUACAGCAGUGGGCCGUAGCCAAUUUAACGUGCCACGAGGCACAGCAGAAUAAGUCCGGAUAUGCAUGUGUCAGCAUGAAUAGCAUAUGCUUGAGUGUCAACUCCGAACAAGAAUAUAUCGGUUACCGUUGCAAAUGUUCGGCCGGCUUUGACGGGAAUCCAUAUAUCGCAGAUGACUGCAACGAUGUUGACGAGUGCAAGACACCAGGCACAUGUUAUGGGAUCUGUCAUAACACUGAAGGAGGUCACUAUUGCACGGAAUGUCCUAGUGAUACAGUGUAUGAUACUACAAUAAAGAUGUGCACAUCAGCCAAAAAACAAAAUCUGGUACUAGGUAUCGCCAUUGGGAUCAGCGUUGGUUUUGGAAUUCUACUUCUCAUAUCAAUUAUAAUAUUGUUCGUUCGUAGAUGUAAAAAAGGCAUCAAGAAGAAACUACGAAGAAAGCAUUUUCGGCAGAACCAAGGUCUACUCCUCGAACAAUUGGUAUCAUCAGAUGAAAAUGCAAGUGACAACACUAAGAUUUUCUCACUAUCAGAGUUAGAGAAGGCAACCAAUAACUUCGAUCCAACACGUAUCGUUGGCCGUGGAGGGCAUGGCAUGGUUUAUAAAGGCAUCUUAUCCGACCAACGGGUAGUGGCCAUAAAGAAAUAUAAAGUCAUUGAGCAAGUUGAGAUAAGCCAGUUUAUCAAUGAGGUUGCUGUCCUCUCCCAGGUAAAUCACCGGAAUAUCGUGAAGCUCUUUGGUUGUUGUCUUGAGACCGAAGUCCCACUGCUAGUGUAUGACUUCAUCCCUAAUGGUUCAUUAUUUGGAAUCCUUCACGCCACUACCACUAGCGGCCUUGUCUUGUCCUGGGAUAAUUGUUUGAAAAUUGCUGCAGAAGCUGCUGGAGCACUCUAUUACCUCCACUCAGCUGCUUCAGUAUCGAUAUUUCAUCGUGAUGUGAAGUCCACUAACAUACUCUUAGAUGGAAAUUACACUGCAAAGGUAUCAGAUUUUGGCGCUUCAAGGUUGGUUCCUAUUGACCAAACUCAUGUCAUUACAAAUAUACAAGGCACAUUUGGAUACUUGGAUCCGGAAUAUUACCACACUGGUAUGUUGAAUGAGAAGAGUGAUGUCUAUAGUUUUGGUGUAGUACUUGUAGAGUUGCUGCUCAGGAAGAAGCCUAUUUUUACAAGUGACUCUGGGCUAACGCAAAACUUGUCCAACUACUUCUUGUGGGAGAUGAGGGAGAAACCACUUGCAGAAAUAGUAGCUACACAAGUUCUUGAGGAAGCAACAAAUGAAGAGAUUAAUGAUGUCGCCAAUCUUGCGCAGACUUGCUUGCAACUACGAGGUGAAGAGGGACCUACAAUGAAAGAAGUGGAGAUGAAACUACAGUAUGUGCGAUCUAAAAGGUUGAGAUCAUGUCAGGUUGUUGUAAGAAAUGAAGACAUGCAACCCUUGUUAAGUGGACAAAGCCAAGACACUCUUCCAAUGUUGACUACUCCGAGUGGUAUAGCAGACAGUGUUAAUAUAGCUUCUCAAAGGAACCAAAAUUGCUACAGCUUGGAGCAAGAGUUAAUGGCAUCGGCGACUCUUCCACGCUAG
This 2766-nucleotide ribosomal RNA is filed under the name Triticum aestivum (bread wheat). RNAcentral's name for it is "partial small subunit ribosomal RNA". The record is from RNAcentral. Lineage: Eukaryota; Viridiplantae; Streptophyta; Magnoliopsida; Poales; Poaceae.